AUGAAUUACUUUCAAAAACAUGAAACAACAAAUACAAUAAAAACAUUUAUUAGGCUAAUGAAAUGAAUUCACACAACACAAUAGUUCAAUACUAUUCAAUAAACAAAUUUAAGAAUGACCAAUAUAGAAAUUCAAAAAUUGUUAAUACAUAAGAAUUAACCCUAAACCAGUAGAGAAAAUAUUGAAAUACCCAAAAGUAAAAAUGGGCACGGGUGGGCGGGUUAAAAAAUGUUCUCAAAACUACCAAAAUGUGUUGAUCGACGCUUCAACUCAAAUUUCAAAAAUAAUAUAUAAUAAGAACUAAGUGUUUACCGUGUGAAAGCAAAUCUUUGAGUGAUGUAAAAAGGUAUGUAAUUUAACAGGUAAACGAAAGUGAGUAGAAUUCAACUAACAAACCAAUAAAAAAAAGUUAUGACAAAUUCAGUAUGACGAAAAGAAUAUAGCAUUUAAAUAAAUAAAUUCCUUAGGAAC
This 471-nucleotide long non-coding RNA is filed under the name Mytilus galloprovincialis (Mediterranean mussel). The record is from RNAcentral. Lineage: Eukaryota; Metazoa; Mollusca; Bivalvia; Mytilida; Mytilidae.